ACGGGAGGCAGCAGUGGGGAAUCUUCCGCAAUGGGCGAAAGCCUGACGGAGCAACGCCGCGUGAGUGAAGAAGGUCUUCGGAUCGUAAAGCUCUGUUGAGAGGGACGAGAGAUUACUUCAGGAAAUGGGAGUAAGAGGACGGUACCUUUCGAGGAAGCCACGCCUAACUACGUGCCAGCAGCCGCGGUAAUACGUAGGAGGCGAGCGUUGUCCGGAAUUAUUGGGCGUAAAGGGAGCGAAGGUGGGACUUUAAGUCAGUGUUAAAAGUGCGGGGAUCAACCCCGUGAUGGGAUUGAAACUGUAGUUCUUGAGUGCAGGAGAGGAAAGCGGAAUUCCUAGUGUAGCGGUGAAAUGCGUAGAUAUUAGGAGGAACAUCAGUGGCGAAGGCGGCUUUCUGGAGUGUAACUGACGCUGAGGCUCGAAAGCGUGGGGAGCGAACAGGAUUAGAUACCCUGGUA
This 458-nucleotide ribosomal RNA is filed under the name uncultured Anaerovibrio sp. RNAcentral's name for it is "bacterial SSU rRNA". It matches the Rfam family "Bacterial small subunit ribosomal RNA", at positions 341 to 792 of the family's 1533-position model. Lineage: Bacteria; Bacillati; Bacillota; Negativicutes; Selenomonadales; Selenomonadaceae. The record is from RNAcentral.